GUCUAUAUACACAUGCAAAAACAGAAGUUGAGAAUGAACAGCUUUUAUCAGCUCGACCUCCCGUCCACAAGGGGGCAGUACCGCGCCAUUAAACUGGAGGUAGCUGUUUUGGUGCGGUCAGAACCAUAGACGUAAUGGUCGGAAAGGCUGCAGCAAAGAUGUCUUCAGUCCAAUAUUUGGGAAGAUUCGUCAGCAGACGGUUGACGGCUGCUGCUGUGAAGAUAUCCACGAAAGCUGAACAAACCAUCGCAUAGCACGAUGAGGAGCUGCAUCGUCAGCGCAGACGGCUGGGCAGCAGCCGGAAGUCUGAAGAGCAAACAGAAUGUGCGUUUACCGCUAUGCUUGUUUCUCCCCCAGCAUCACCUGAGUGGGGUUGAGGAUCUCUGUGACCAGAAGAGAAGCUCUGAUCUCAAGCAGGAGGGACCAGAACCUCCACAGAUUAAAGAUGAGGAAGAAGACCUCAGUGUCAACCCGAAUGAAGAGCAAACAGAGAAACAAGAGACCAAACUACAAAAGAAGGACAGAAACCCCCAGAAACUGAAACGGCAUUAGUGUGGUAGAACCUACUCGCUGAAGUGCCACCUGAAAACCCACAUGAGAAGUCACACGGGGGAGCUGUUUACAUGUAAAGAAUGUGGCAAAGGCUACACAAAGCCAAGCCUUACUCCUGUAAAACCUGUGGCGAGACGUUUCAGCCGCCGUGACAAACUGAACAUCCACAGAAGGAUUCACACCGGGGAAAAGCCCUUCCUGUGCCAGGAAUGUGGCAAAAACUGUGUGGAUCGGUAUUACCUGAACAAACGUAUGGAAACCCACACUAGGAGGGAGGGGGGAAGGGUCAAGAGGAGGAGGAAACUUGACUCCACCUGAGGGAUCAGGCAGAACAAGAAUGGGCAUACAAAUAAUUUAAAAAAUGACAACAUUUAGUUUGUUAAUCAUUCAGAAUUGUAUAUUUUUAGUUUUUUGUUUCCUUUUUUCAUUGCAUCCCUUUCUGUAGAAACAUCCUAUCUAACUAUUUUGUGCUGAUAGAUGAGGUCAGAUGCAUGUUUCCCAGGUCACGUGAAGCUGACAGGAAAGAGGAAGAGCUCCAGCUAUGAUAAACAAUAGAUAAGGUCUUUUAAAGUCCCACGCCAACUAUUUUUAAUCGAUUAUAAAAUCCUUCCCAGUGGUACUUUAAUUAUGAUUAUGCAGUUUUUAACCAACAUCAAAAUGUCUGUCAUGUUAAAGACAUGUUUUCUGCAGGACCACAGCAGUGAGCGGGACUGCUGGCACGGAAGUUAGCGCCGCUAUUUUCCUAUCAGUUUGUUGUUUACACUAUCUCCGCUAGCUUAUAGGACCUCACAAGCCCAAGCUAGCAUUGGCGGAGCAAAAAAAAAAGAAAAGGGUGAGCAAUAUUAGAGCUAUCUGGCUGUACAGAUGUGAGAGCGAUGGCAGCUCAGACAUUCAUGGAUCUGUUUGUCUGCAAGUGGAUGUAUCAGAAUUGUCGCUCAGAAGGGAGACUUUGGCUCGCCCAUGGUAGCUACUGCAUCACAGAUCUGGCUUAUAAUUCAAACCGUAGGUUGUUGUCUGCUCCUGAUCCAGCACAAUUUGAACAAAGAAAUACUCAGAAAUGCAAAUUUGAAUUUAUUUUAUACAUUUCCUCCACUAGAAAAAUGCAACAAGAACAUGUUAUAAACACCAUUUUCAUUGAAGUGGGUCUCUAAAUGAGUGAUGGGGACAUCAUGGUUUGGAUGGUUAAGAGUAUUUUAUGUUUUUUAAUUUUUCAUUUUUAAUUAUUCAGUUUGUGUCAUUGUAUGAAAAGUGCUUCAUAAAUAAAGUUUGAUUUGAU
RNAcentral lists this long non-coding RNA (1828 nucleotides) under Oryzias javanicus (javanese ricefish). Its description in RNAcentral is "lncRNA (ENSOJAG00000001564.1)". The record is from RNAcentral. Lineage: Eukaryota; Metazoa; Chordata; Actinopteri; Beloniformes; Adrianichthyidae.